This 483-nucleotide ribosomal RNA is filed under the name uncultured bacterium. Its description in RNAcentral is "partial 16S ribosomal RNA". It matches the Rfam family "Bacterial small subunit ribosomal RNA", at positions 28 to 507 of the family's 1533-position model. The record is from RNAcentral.
GACGAACGCUGGCGGCGUGCUUAACGCAUGCCAGUCGAACGCUGAAGCUCAGCUUUUGUUGGGUGGAUGAGUGGCGAACGGGUGAGUAACACGUGAGUAACCUGCCCCCUUCUUUGGGAUAACGCCCGGAAACGGGUGCUAAUACUGGAUAUUCACUGGUCUUCGCAUGGGGGUUGGUGGAAAGGGUUUUUCUGGUGGGGGAUGGGCUCGCGGCCUAUCAGCUUGUUGGUGGGGUGAUGGCCUACCAAGGCUUUGACGGGUAGCCGGCCUGAGAGGGUGACCGGUCACAUUGGGACUGAGAUACGGCCCAGACUCCUACGGGAGGCAGCAGUGGGGAAUAUUGCACAAUGGGCGCAAGCCUGAUGCAGCGACGCCGCGUGAGGGAUGGAGGCCUUCGGGUUGUGAACCUCUUUCGCUCAUGGUCAAGCCGCAACAAUGGUUGUGGUGAGGGUAGUGGGUAAAGAAGCGCCGGCUAACUACGUG